CGCCCGCCGGGCUGCGAUCCCGCCGUCCUUCUACGCGGCUGCCGCCGCCUCUGGCCGCCCGGGACGGCGCCUUCCCACAGCCGGAAGUCAGUCCCGCUGGCCCCGCGCCGCCUUCGCACUGUCCCCCAAGGCCACGGCUGCCCCCGCCCUCCCCGGGGCUUUUUGUUUUUUACGCCAGCCCCAUUUAUCACUUCCAACCUGCCUAUCGCCCGGCACCAACUGUUGCAAGUUCCGUAAUAACUGCUGCUAUGAACUUCUCCGUCGAAACUGCUCCUCCCCAGAGCCUGUUUAAGAAGCAGAAAUAAGAAUAAAUUCCCGGAUGCCGGUGGAUGCACUGACCUCUAAGAUUUUCAAAGGUGAAGUGGAUACACGUUAUUAAGUCAUUGGGAGACAUCGCCAACAUUGGGAAACCUAGUAAAAAGUGGAAAUCGAGCGUUUUAAAUAAAAAAAAAAAAAGGUUUCUACUAGCAAGACUGAUCGUAGGCGAACUUCUCAAGGAAUUUUGGAAUAUUGUGCCAAAGUGAGAAUAUUUAAUAUUUCCAAAAGUAGACUUAACUAGGAAUACUUAAAGCAGAGACUAUUGGAAAUGCUUUAAUUUGGGAUUUCAGGAAAGGGCUUGAAGAGAAAUAUUUUAUAUGAGCAAGCCUCUUGGAAUAAUUGAAUCACCUUAAUUUUGUCACUGUUACUUCGAAGAGAACGAGAAGAGAGAAGAUGGGAAACGAAAGGAGAAAGGGAAAAGAAAUGGGGUGGAAAGAAAAAAGCAGAAGAGAUCGCCCUAUACCAGUAGGCCUAGUACCCUAGGAUUCUGGCCUCUUUCUCCCACCUUUGGUGUUUAAGAUUAAGGACAGUGCAUUCCUGCUUUUAGAAAUUUAAAUUUAAGUUUGAAGACUUAAUUUUAAUUACUGUAGUAGGUAAAGCAAAGUCGUUAAAUACUUGACAUCAGGAUCCCAUUGGAGUAUUGAUUUAGGUCUUUUCAAAGGUGGUGGUCCUGGUUCUCUGCACCAGCCACUGGCGGAAUGGCGGAAUGGUGUAUCUACCAAUGAACAGAUGGACUGGGUGGGCCUCGGGUACGGGUGGCUUGAGAUGCAAAUGCAAGGGUAGGAAGGCACCUUCCCCCCCACCACUCCCAGCCCACCCCGCCAAUCUUAAAACAUUGAUCUUUAUAAAAUUCGCAAACGUCCCACAGGAUUUCAUUGGCUUAAGAGUAUUGUCAAAUGAAGACGCCAGGAAGUAUUGAGUUUCUGGGUACAUAAUACUGUCCUGAGUGUUGAAGGAAGAGGACUAAUACGAGAUUUUAAAAAAUGGCUGUGGACAACCAUCCUUCAGGUGUGAUGGCAGGACAUCUUGUAUCACCUGAAACUUCCUUUUUUCGCCGCUAGGUGGUGGGUGUGAGUCUUUUGCGGCCUUUAAGUUUCUACGGUGUUUGGAGGAAAUACGUUUCAGUUUCAAAUAAAUGAACAACGUGUAACUCUAAGAUGAGUAAAUAAUCAAUGUGUUUUCCAACCACCCCAAGUUAAUUUGUUUAAAAAACAAUCAAACC
RNAcentral lists this long non-coding RNA (1540 nucleotides) under Homo sapiens (human). RNAcentral describes it as "non-protein coding lnc-PIK3AP1-6:2". Lineage: Eukaryota; Metazoa; Chordata; Mammalia; Primates; Hominidae. The record is from RNAcentral.